GAGUGUGCAGCAUAGUGGUUUGAGCGCUGGACUAAGACUCUGGGGAACAGGGUUCGAAUCCUGUCUCGGUCA
Molecule: non-coding RNA, 72 nt
Organism: Phrynosoma platyrhinos (Desert horned lizard)
Lineage: Eukaryota; Metazoa; Chordata; Lepidosauria; Squamata; Phrynosomatidae
Source: the annotation of a GenBank genome assembly